UCGGGUAAUCGCUGCAAAGAGCUUUAUGCGAAUUGUAGAGGAAAGUCCAUGCUCGCACGAGCUGAGAUGCUCGUAGUGUUCGUGCCUAGCGAAGUCAUAAGCUAGGGCAGUAAGGAUUCGUCUUUGCUGACGGCAGGGAAAAUGCCUAAGUCCAUUUGGAUAUGGUGUGAAUACCUUGAAAGUGCCACAGUGACGUAGCCUCUUUAGAAAUAAAGAGGGUGGAACGAGGUAAACCCCGCGAGCGAGAAACCCAAAUUAUGGUAGGGGCACCUUCUCUAAGGAAAUGAACGAGAGAGAAGGACAGGUUGAUUUUUCAAUCUGUAGAUAGAUGAUUGCCACCGGAGUACAAGACUUUUGUCGUUUGUAGUACAAUGGUACAAAACAUGGCUUACAG
RNAcentral lists this RNase P RNA (394 nucleotides) under Bacillus massilinigeriensis. RNAcentral describes it as "Bacterial RNase P class B". It matches the Rfam family "Bacterial RNase P class B". Rfam says of the family: Ribonuclease P (RNase P) is a ubiquitous endoribonuclease, found in archaea, bacteria and eukarya as well as chloroplasts and mitochondria. Its best characterised activity is the generation of mature 5'-ends of tRNAs by cleaving the 5'-leader elements of precursor-tRNAs. Cellular RNase Ps are ribonucleoproteins. The record is from RNAcentral. Lineage: Bacteria; Bacillati; Bacillota; Bacilli; Caryophanales; Bacillaceae.